UUUAUAGUUUUUGUCUGAAGUACCAUUUUCGGAUUUUUUAACAUGCAUGAAAUUUAUUUUAUUCUAUUCACACAAAAUUUGAACUUUCGAUAAAUUAUUUUGAUAGUGUUCCAAAUUUUAAUUAGUUGACGACCACAUAAUUGCAAACUCGAUCAGUCAAUAUUUUACGAAAAUUUUUCAAGUAUAUUUUCGGGCAAACUGAGCUAAGCUUCAACUUUUACUUUAGUACAAAUUUUUUUCGUGAGGCCUUCACAACAAUACGAAGAGAACUGCAGCAAAAACUGGCGUACGUCCUACUAUCAAACUUUAAAAAAAUACAAACAAAACACAUAAACUAAGGUGUUUCCAUAGUUUAAAAAAAAAAUGGAACCAAAACUGCUGUUAUUCAUCACGAACUAAUAUUGGAACAAUGUUUGAAAAAUACUUCCGCUUCAAAAAGAGGUAAAUUUCUCUACCAAAGUACUUAUUUUUGUUUAU
Zophobas morio is the source of this 477-nucleotide long non-coding RNA. RefSeq lists it as uncharacterized. The record is from RefSeq and is a predicted model, not a curated record. NCBI's taxonomy places the organism in Eukaryota, Metazoa, Arthropoda, Insecta, Coleoptera, Tenebrionidae. The transcript is spliced from 3 exons.